Octopus sinensis (East Asian common octopus) is the source of this 104-nucleotide small nuclear RNA. Lineage: Eukaryota; Metazoa; Mollusca; Cephalopoda; Octopoda; Octopodidae. The record is from RefSeq and is a predicted model, not a curated record.
UUGCUUCAGCAGUACAUAUACUACAAACUGGAACGAUACAGAGAAGAUUAGCAUGGCCCCUGCGCAAGGAUGACACACGAAUUUGUGAGGCGUUCCAUACUUUU